CCGCCUAUAACUAAUCUAAGUGCUGGGUUCUUACUCCAGUAAUGUGUUGUGGCUGCACUAGGCGGU
RNAcentral lists this transfer RNA (66 nucleotides) under Rhinebothrium sp. 1. RNAcentral describes it as "tRNA-Lys". Lineage: Eukaryota; Metazoa; Platyhelminthes; Cestoda; Rhinebothriidea; Rhinebothriidae. The record is from RNAcentral.